UACGUAGGGACCAAGCGUUGUUCGGAUUUACUGGGCGUAAAGAGCGCGUAGGCGGUCUUGUAAGUGUGAAGUGAAAUCUCCAGGGCUCAACCCGGAAACUGCUUCGCAUACUGCAAGACUGGAGGAAUGCAGAGGUAUGUGGAAUUCCUGGUGUAGCGGUGAAAUGCGUUGAUAUCAGGAGGAACACCCAUGGCGAAGGCAGCAUACUGGGCAUUAUCUGACGCUGAGGCGCGAAAGCGUGGGUAGCAAACAGG
This 254-nucleotide ribosomal RNA is filed under the name uncultured bacterium. Its description in RNAcentral is "partial 16S ribosomal RNA". It matches the Rfam family "Bacterial small subunit ribosomal RNA", at positions 524 to 776 of the family's 1533-position model. The record is from RNAcentral.